This 468-nucleotide ribosomal RNA is filed under the name uncultured bacterium. Its description in RNAcentral is "partial 16S ribosomal RNA". It matches the Rfam family "Bacterial small subunit ribosomal RNA", at positions 28 to 507 of the family's 1533-position model. The record is from RNAcentral.
GACGAACGCUGGCGGCGUGCUUAACACAUGCAAGUCGAACGGAAAGGCCCUGCUUUUGUGGGGUGCUCGAGUGGCGAACGGGUGAGUAACACGUGAGUAACCUGCCCCUGACUUUGUGAUAACUUCAGGAAACUGGGGCGAAUACCGGAUAGGAGCUCCUGCUGCAUGGUGGGGGUUGGAAAGUUUCGGCGUUUGGGGCUGGAGUCGCGGCUUAUCAGCUUGUUGGUGGGGUAGUGGCUUACCAAGGGUUUGACGGGUAGCCGGCCUGAGAGGGUGACCGGCCACAUUGGGACUGCGAUACGGCCCAGACUCCUACGGGCGGCAGCAGUGGGGAAUAUUGCACAAUGGGCGGAAGCCUGAUGCAGCAACGCCGCGUGCGGGAUGACGGCCUUCGGGUUGUAAACCGCUUUCGCCUGUGACGAAGCGUGAGUGACGGUAAUGGGUAAAGAAGCAACGGCUAACUACGUG